UACGAAGGGGGCUAGCGUUGCUCGGAAUCACUGGGCGUAAAGCGCACGUAGGCGGUCUUUUAAGUCGGGGGUGAAAUCCUGGAGCUCAACUCCAGAACUGCCUUCGAUACUGGAAGACUCGAGUCCGGGAGAGGUGAGUGGAACUGCGGGUGUAGAGGUGAAAUUCGUAGAUAUUCGCAAGAACACCAGUGGCGAAGGCGGCUCACUGGCCCGGUACUGACGCUGAGGUGCGAAAGCGUGGGGAGCAAACAGG
Molecule: ribosomal RNA, 253 nt
Filed under: uncultured bacterium
Lineage: Bacteria
Description: partial 16S ribosomal RNA
Rfam family: Bacterial small subunit ribosomal RNA
Source: RNAcentral